AGAAACUCUUACUGGCAUUAAAUCUGAAACUAAAGAACUGCUGUUCUAUUUAAAGGGACUUACUGGUGGCCUACAUAAGCAGCCAUUAGCAGUUUUUAAUUUACAAAUUUAAGAAAAAGUAAGGAAGUUGCUUCAUUUAGUAGAUAAACACAGCCAAACAUUAGUGGUCUGAAUCAGUAAUCAAAUUAUAACAUGUUCAUCACAUCUUUUGCACAAAAUCAUUCUUGGAUAAUAAGAUUUUAGUCUGCCUAUUUUGAGCUCCUUUCAAAAUGAGUUGUUUUAAGGUCUCUUGUCACUUUAAAUCAAAAUAAAUAAGCUGCUGCUGGACACAGCCCCCAACUCUCACUUUAUUCACACUGCAAACAGAUGUGCAAUUAUACAAAUAUACAUCUUCGAGAAGUAUAAGUAGAGCCUUCCACACAACCAACAAGAAAGCAGCAAGUGGUUUCUGAAUACUUGGGCUACGUUCACACUGCCGCCCAAAGUGACUCAGUUCCAAUUUUUUUUGUCAAAUCAGUUUUGUUUUUUUGCCGUGGCCAUUCACACUUCCAAAUAAGUGCGACCUGUAUAUGUUCUCCAGUGUGAACUGCAAACAACCUGAAAGUGUCCUGCAUGCGCAGUAGAGGGCCCAAUAACGUCACAUAUAGAGUGUGCGCUCAGUGUUUUACCAACCCCUAUAAAAAGAAGUAGUAGUGCUCAGUGUUUGCGGAAGUAAACAUGGAUGCUAACGGAGCAUAGCUUACACAUUUGAAGUUGUUGUCCGACCAGAGCCAGCAUAUUAACAACAUAAUCCUUAUAGUAGUCCCGCAUGGAUGUUGUUUUUCUUCCUGCUUGCAUGUAACAGGACGUAGAAUAGUGACGUUGAGUAUCAAUAUCGUUCAGGUCGGAUGAAUGCGACCUGCAGAUUGAAUUGGAUACACAUCGGAUAUUCAAGUGGCCUGGGUCGCAUUCGGAAAAAAUCCGAACUGUGUUGUUCAGACUGCGAUAAAAAGAUCAGACACAGGUCGCAUUACGUCAAAUAAAAAGAUCAGACACGGGUCGCAUUACGUCAAAUAAAAAGAUCAGACACAGGUCGCAUUACGUCAAAUAAAAAGAUCAGACACAGGUCGCAUUACGUCAAAUAAAAAGAUCAGACACGAGUCGCAUUACGUCAAAUAAAAAGAUCAGACACGGGUCGCAUUACGUCAAAUAAAAAGAUCAGGCACGGGUCGCAUUACGUCAAAUAAAAAGAUCAGACACGGGUCGCAUUACGUC
This is a long non-coding RNA of Xiphophorus hellerii (green swordtail), 1254 nucleotides long. RefSeq lists it as uncharacterized. The transcript is spliced from 2 exons. The record is from RefSeq and is a predicted model, not a curated record. NCBI's taxonomy places the organism in Eukaryota, Metazoa, Chordata, Actinopteri, Cyprinodontiformes, Poeciliidae.